This 254-nucleotide ribosomal RNA is filed under the name uncultured bacterium. RNAcentral describes it as "partial 16S ribosomal RNA". It matches the Rfam family "Bacterial small subunit ribosomal RNA", at positions 524 to 776 of the family's 1533-position model. The record is from RNAcentral.
UACGGAGGGUGCGAGCGUUGUCCGGAAUCAUUGGGCGUAAAGGGCGCGUAGGUGGCCCGGUCAGUCUUUGGUGAAAGCGCGGGGCUCAACCCUGCGUCGGCCAGGGAUACUGCCGCGGCUCGAGCACUGUAGAGGCAGGCGGAAUUCCGGGUGUAGCGGUGGAAUGCGUAGAGAUGUGGAGGAACACCAGUGGCGAAGGCGGCUUUCUGGCCCGUUCUUGACGCUGAGGCGCGAAAGCUAGGGUAGCAAACGGG